Molecule: ribosomal RNA, 1545 nt
Filed under: Triticum aestivum (bread wheat)
Lineage: Eukaryota; Viridiplantae; Streptophyta; Magnoliopsida; Poales; Poaceae
Description: partial small subunit ribosomal RNA
Source: RNAcentral
AUGGCGUUCAUCCAUCCACCAAAUAUCAGCAUCCGUACCGGAGGGGGGCCGGGGCGGCUCGCUGCCGUACCGGAGGGGAGCACGGACGGCGCCAAAGCUGACCACCCGCCGGUGGUGGGACUCUACCGCGACCAGAUCCAGGCCGUCUCCGUGUCCGGCGUGUGGAGAAGAUCAACUAUCUUCGGUCAUGGCGGAUCCAGCCACUCCAGUGCUUCGAAUUCUUGCCCCUCCACCAACUCCGCCUACUCCUCCGGUUCAGCGUCCGCCGUUGCGCUGGACCGCUUUGGCAACCAAGAGCUCACAAGGAUUGCUCGCCAAAUGAUCAGCCACGGGUACAUCCGGCGCAUGGUCCAAGCAUUUGAAGACGCUUCAUUCGCACAAGCAUUCGGCAGCCCGGUCCAUGCCCUGGAAAAUUGGUUCUCGGAGCUCGACGUCGACUGGGUUCUCCAAAUCCACGACGAGCAAGGAUUUCGGCGGCUGCUUCGAGACAAGCCGGCGAUGACGCAAGAAUUGGUCAAGAAGUGGAUCCGGGCUCUUAUCGUAAUUGCCGCCAGUAUCACUGAGUCUGUAUUCCCCUUCCCCACGACGGCAGCGGACGCACGGUUUGUCAAAGCGAGCAUCACCGAGAUGCUUGAUGUCGUGGAUGUUAUCAUCACCGCUCUCGAAGCGGAGAAGAAGCUACAGGUCGUGCUUGACAUGUUUACCGGUGUCUGUGGUGCGUCACACAUACUUACGCCGGUCGACAUCUCUUCAUCAGAAGGCCAAAGCAUUUUCAACGUGAUAGGCAGCAUGUUAGAGAGACAAGCAAACAGGCUAAGCGAGAUGAUAGCAAGCACGAUGGAGGAAGUGAGGACACUCGUGGAGGAAGAUGAUGACUCAUGGGCUAUGGAGAUCUCGCGAGGAGGCGGCGAAAUUCACAACAUCACUCAGUUCAUCAUGAAUUGCAUAGUAUCCAUGAUGAAUGCACACACUUCAACGCAAAACACUGCACCGAGCCACCACACUGAAAACCUUGGUGGCUUGAUCAAUGGCACAAUCAAUUAUCUCAAGGGUCUGCUCUUCACAAAAUCCGAGUCAUGCUCGGAUCAAAGCCUCAGGUACUUGUUCCUGCUCAACAAUACCUAUUUCGUAGCUCAUGUGGUGUCUGAGUCAUCAGGAUCUUCCAUUCCUCAGAUGAGGCACCUCACACUUAAACUUAAGAUUGAACGUAAGAACUACAUGAAUAGUUAUCUCGAUGUUUCUUGGGGACAUGUGCUCUCCUGCAUACCAAAAUCGAGAUUUCCUGGACCGAUCCAUUGUUGGAUCAACACCUCUUCACUGGCCAAAUUCGAGUCGUCAUUUCACAAAACGUACCAGACUCAGAAGUUGUGGAAGGUUCCAGACCCUCAGCUCAGAGAUGAGCUGAGGACAGUUAUCACCCAAAGAGUCGUUUCAGGGUACCGCAGCUACCUAGAGGAGCAUCCAGAGCUGGAGAAACAUGUUGGCCGCGAAAGCAGCAGUCCUGAAGUUUUGCAGGAGAUGUUGGGAGAGCUAUUUGAAGGCUGA